CCUCCAAUUAUUGGCACGCAUGCAGCAGCUCGUGCCUCCUGUGUGUGAUGUACGGAGGGAUAGGAAAUGGGAACUCCAGCGUUGUGUCUGCAGGGCAGGCCGCUCCCGUCUGCUGGUCCGAUCCUCAUUCGCUGGCACACGC
Chelydra serpentina (North American snapping turtle) is the source of this 142-nucleotide small nucleolar RNA. Lineage: Eukaryota; Metazoa; Chordata; Testudines; Chelydridae. The record is from Ensembl.